Molecule: ribosomal RNA, 315 nt
Filed under: Rhipicephalus sanguineus (brown dog tick)
Lineage: Eukaryota; Metazoa; Arthropoda; Arachnida; Ixodida; Ixodidae
Description: partial small subunit ribosomal RNA
Source: RNAcentral
AAUUACGAAAGCAAAAAAUUAUGGCGGUAUUUUAAGCUUUUCAGAGGAAUUUGCUCUUUAAUGGAUAAAACACCUAAAUCUUACUUAAAUUUGUUAAUUCAAUUUGUAUACCACUAUAAAAACAAUUAAUAACUUCAAUUGUUAAAAUUUAUUAAAUUAAGUUAUAUUAAGUCAAGGUGCAGUAAAAAUUUAAGAAUGAAGUGAAUUACAUUUCUUUUUAGAGAGAGAAAUUUAAAUAACAUUUAGGAUUUGAAAGUAAAAUUGAAAUAGAAUGUCAAUUUGAAUUAAGCUCUAAAAUAUGUACAUAUCGCCCGU